RNAcentral lists this long non-coding RNA (2095 nucleotides) under Canis lupus familiaris (dog). RNAcentral's name for it is "lncRNA (ENSCAFG00000056518.1)". The record is from RNAcentral. Lineage: Eukaryota; Metazoa; Chordata; Mammalia; Carnivora; Canidae.
UUUCCUAUGUUGGAAAGAAUUUACGAUCUCAGUUGCUUUUCCUUUCUUUUUUCUUUUUGCCAGCUUCCUCCUCCUCCUCAUGCAAUAAAGAUCAAUUUGUCUGGGAGCCACUUCUUUUUGAUGAGAGACCGUUUCUGGGAGAGGUCUCGGGCUUCAAGGAGCACAUACAAUUUUGUUGCAGAUUUGGAGAGUCAGGGACUCUUGUCUCAGAAGAGUGGGGGCCCUCGGGAAAAGGGGGGCCCUGAUGAAGCAACGGAACAACAGAGGCCCAGGAAGAGCCAAACUAAUAGAAACUAAGGACGGAGAAAAAUGAAUGAUGGUAUAAAUUGGGCAAACGUGACUUUACACCCUCUCAAGUCCUUUUGUACACCCCAGAUAUGCUGCUCAGUACAUCGUUCUUUCCUUCAUCCUUCAUGACACCCCCUCCUGAUCAUCACUUUCAGGAAAGAUGUAGAGACAAUGGAUCAUCAAAAAUAAGAGCAACAACAUGGAUGGAAUGAGUGAGGGGAACUUACGGGAAGCAAACAAAGGCAUGAAGCUAACAGAGGAGUUAGAAUGAGAAACAUUGUUCUUUCCAGUUCAAUACAAUCAAAUCUCAGAGUGGAUCUGGUAGUUGGCCUGUGUUUUUCACUUCCUAAAAAAAUAUAGGAUAAAAGCAACCACUUUGCUUAUAUCCAGAUUCCUUACUUCCAUGUAAAUAAUGGAGGGGUUAGGAAAUAAGAGUGAAAAUCUCCGUAGAUGAGGAAAUGAAGGGGAUUGGCAAGAUGUGGAAUCAGACGGUUAAUCAACAGAGGAAGGCUCCAAGCCGCGAGGAGGGGAGGGACCACAAAAGAAGGCUCCACAGGGGUGUGGUAUCCAGGACCAAGGAGCCCUGUCCCCACUCUCCAGCACCCCAGGCCACUUUCAUCUCAAGGGUCUACACUCAGUGAAAUGCUUUUUCGGCUCCUGUCUCCCCAUCAGUGUAUCAAUGUAUCCCCAGGGCAGUUUCUAACACAUAGUAGAUGGUCCAUCAGUGCUUGUUGGACUUGGGUCUAAGGGCCUUGGAUGGAAGAACCAGUACAAGGAAAACACAUCGUGUGAGAUGGAGAUGAUGAAAAACAGUAGUAAGGGGCAAAAGGAAAGACAUCUUUCAGGUGUUGGUUCAGAUCUUUCCUGAGCCUUCUAGGAUGGAGUGCUCCUCCUGUGGGUUUCCCCAGCAACAUGUGCUUCCUUCACUGCAGUGCACAGAGGCCUGAUGGGUAACUGCCUGUCUCUCUUCCCCCGUGAUCUUCAGGCUUUGAGCAGAUGGUGGGUGUGCCCAUCUGGCUCAUGAUGAUGUUCUAGAAUCUAGCAUGGUGCCUGGUUUAUUGUGGUUGUUCAAUAUAUAUUAUUUUUUUUUAAAGAUUUUAUUUUUAUUUUUUGAGAGACAGAGAGAGAGAGCACAAGUUGGGGGGAGGCAUAGAGGGAGAGGGAGAAGCAGACUCCCCGCUAAGCAGGGAGCCCAACGCCAGCUUCAUCCCAGGACCCCUGGAUCAUGACCUGAGCUGAAAGCAGAUGUUUGACUGAGCCACCCAGGACCCCCCCACUAUUUUGAAUGAGUGAGAAAAUGAGACCAAAGUUAAAGGAAGAGUCUCAUGAAGAAAUAAAGAAAUUUGUUUUAAAAAUGACAGAGGGCAUGAAAAGAUGUUUAGACACCUCUGAAUAAAGAAAUUUAAUUUGAAAAAAAUAAAGACUCUAUAGUGAGAAACGGGGAAGGACACUAUGAGAGCAAUGAUAAUGUGAUAUGAUCUAGAAUUUUGGUUUCCUUAUCUAUAAAAUGAAAUUAAUUAUCACACCUCCUUUUUGUAAGGGUUAAAUGACACCGUGUGUGAAGUGUUGAGUAUUUUGUGGCCUCUACAAUUAAGACUGUUAGGUUGUAAGUGAUAGAAGCCCAGUGUGAAGUUAUUUAUGAGAAAGAAAGAGGACAUUGUUUUACUGGCUUAUGUACCCAAGCCAAGAGGAGGGCAGGGAGGGGGCAGCAUGAGUACUGUGGUGAACCCCAGAUUCCCUUGGUGUGUUGGACUCAUCCUUUCCAACUCCAGCUGCUCCAGCUGUCUUUAGAAACCUGCCACUGUGG